AAAAAAGAAAGUGUGACGGUGUGAGAAAAAAGAAGAAGAAGCGAAGGUAGAUAGGCUGGAGAGAGAGAGAGAGAGAGUGAGUAUAAAGAAAGGAAAGGUUAUACUCUAAAAGGCUGGAGGCUUCGAGAAUAGCUCAUGACUACUGAAGUGACACGCUCACUCCGUCCACUGUAAGGAAGUGAAGACUAUUUAGUUACAACUCCCGAGGAAGUGAGAGAGGUAGCACACUGCGCACCACCCUCCACUGUCUAAGGAGAUCACAGACCAAAUCAUCACUUUGUCUCUCUCUCGUUCUCUUUCCCCGUCUACUGGUAUUGGGAUUUUAAUAAUAUUAAAAUGGAUCCGCCUGCAAGGAUGAAUGAAGGAGGGCCUUACAGUUUGGAGGAGAUCUGGCAAUUUCCCAUUAACGGGAGCGGAAGAGGGCACUUUGAUUUACUUAAUUUGGAGCAGAGAGCAGCUGCUUCUGUCAGGAAACGUCGCGAUGUUGAUUUGGAUGUUGAUGAUGAUUCUUCUUCAAAACCCACUACCAACGGACUUCUGCGGCUUAAAACAUCAGGGAGUAAAGAUGAGGAUCACCAUCGUCAUCAUGAUUCUAAAGAUGAAGCAGAACCCAGUUCAGGCAAGCAUGUGGAACACAAAACUCAACCACCAGAGCCAUCAAAACAAGAUUAUAUCCACGUACGAGCAAGAAGGGGUCAAGCUACUGAUAGCCACAGUCUAGCUGAAAGAGCUAGGAGAGAAAAGAUAAGCGAAAGGAUGAAAAUUCUUCAGGAUCUAGUCCCAGGCUGUAACAAGGUUAUUGGCAAGGCCCUGGUCCUUGACGAGAUUAUCAAUUACAUCCAAUCAUUACAACGUCAGGUUGAGUUUCUAUCAAUGAAGCUUGAAGCAGUGAAUACGAGAAUGAACCCUGGAAUUGAAGUCUUUGCUUCUAAAGAUCAUAUCAUAAACCUUAAGGUGUUCAUCAAACUUGUCUGAUUGAUGGGUGAUCAAUCAUUACUAAGAGGAAGAGGGCGUCCAAAGGUCCCCCGGUCUUACUUUACCAUAUAGUUUUUAUUGCAGUUUGGACAAACUUUUGACACUGCUGGCAUGGCAUUUGGUUCUCAAGCCACGAGGGAAUACAGUCGUGGUACAUCACCAGAAUGGUUGCAUAUGCAGGUUGGUGGUGGUUUCGAAAGAACGUCAUAAUGUAGAAAAUCCUCAUCAAUUACCAAUAAGAACUCUAAGUGGCAAAUGCUUCAUCCUUCACUGGCUGUCAAAAUAUAUAUACUCCACUUGGUUAAAACGAA
Populus trichocarpa (black cottonwood) is the source of this 1286-nucleotide RNA transcript. It is a transcript of the gene named transcription factor BPE, with no coding region annotated. The record is from RefSeq and is a predicted model, not a curated record. The transcript has 7 exons. Lineage: Eukaryota; Viridiplantae; Streptophyta; Magnoliopsida; Malpighiales; Salicaceae.